UUAACUACGGGUGGCAGCAGUGAGGAAUUUUGCGCAAUGGGGGAAACCCUGACGCAGCAACGCCGCGUGAGUGAUGAAGGCUUUCGGGUCGUAAAGCUCUGUCAAGUGGGAAGAACCUGCUUUGUGAUAAUACCACGAAGCACUGACGCCACCACUGAAGNNAGCACCGGCUAACUCCGUGCCAGCAGCCGCGGUAAUACGGGGGGUGCUAGCGUUAUUCGGAAUCAUUGGGCGUAAAGGGCGCGUAGGCGGUCUCUUAAGUCAGAUGUGAAAGCCCUCGGCUUAACCGAGGAAGUGCAUUUGAUACUAAGAGACUUGAGUAUGGGAGAGGGAAGCGGAAUUCCUGGUGUAGCGGUGAAAUGCGUAGAUAUCAGGAGGAACACCGGUGNNGAAGGCGGCUUCCUGGACCAAUACUGACGCUGAGGCGCGAAGGCGUGGGNNGCAAACAGGAUUAGAUACCNNUGUAGUCC
RNAcentral lists this ribosomal RNA (470 nucleotides) under Desulfosarcina alkanivorans. RNAcentral's name for it is "bacterial SSU rRNA". It matches the Rfam family "Bacterial small subunit ribosomal RNA", at positions 335 to 796 of the family's 1533-position model. The record is from RNAcentral. Lineage: Bacteria; Pseudomonadati; Thermodesulfobacteriota; Desulfobacteria; Desulfobacterales; Desulfosarcinaceae.